Long non-coding RNA from Lutra lutra (Eurasian river otter), 214 nucleotides. RefSeq lists it as uncharacterized. The transcript is spliced from 3 exons. NCBI's taxonomy places the organism in Eukaryota, Metazoa, Chordata, Mammalia, Carnivora, Mustelidae. The record is from RefSeq and is a predicted model, not a curated record.
AGCUACUCUUAGUAUAGUAAAUUUCUACCCCAUUUGGAAACAUCUGGAACACCAGGAAAAGCCAGAGCAGAAGGGCCAGGAGCUGCCAGGUGGGAUGUGCUCAGGACACCUUCCGAGAUGGACCCAGGCAUCUAGAGAGGAAAACCAGCUCUCCUGUUGGAAGACUCACAGGAGUGUUCCAAGAUUCAUUGUUUAUGUACCACACCCAGUGCUC